GAAAUACCACCCUUGUAUGUUUGAUGUUCUAACUUAGACCCGUUAUCCGGGUUGAGGACAGUGCCUGGUGGGUAGUUUGACUGGGGCGGUCUCCUCCCAAAGAGUAACGGAGGAGCACGAAGGUGGGCUAAUCACGGUUGGACAUCGUGAGGUUAGUGCAAUGGCAUAAGCCCGCUUAACUGCGAGAAUGACGGUUCGAGCAGGUGCGAAAGCAGGUCAUAGUGAUCCGGUGGUUCUGUAUGGAAGGGCCAUCGCUCAACGGAUAAAAGGUACUCCGGGGAUAACAGGCUGAUACCGCCCAAGAGUUCAUAUCGACGGCGGUGUUUGGCACCUCGAUGUCGGCUCAUCACAUCCUGGGGCUGAAGUCGGUCCCAAGGGUAUGGCUGUUCGCCAUUUAAAGUGGUACGCGAGCUGGGUUUAGAACGUCGUGAGACAGUUCGGUCCCUAUCUGCCGUGGGCGUUGGAAGAUUGAAGGGGGCUGCUCCUAGUACGAGAGGACCGGAGUGGACGAACCUCUGGUGUUCGGGUUGUGUCGCCAGACGCAUUGCCCGGUAGCUAAGUUCGGAAUUGAUAAGCGCUGAAAGCAUCUAAGCGCGAAGCGAGCC
This 605-nucleotide ribosomal RNA is filed under the name Vibrio cholerae. RNAcentral describes it as "partial 23S ribosomal RNA". It matches the Rfam family "Bacterial large subunit ribosomal RNA", at positions 2194 to 2798 of the family's 2925-position model. Lineage: Bacteria; Pseudomonadati; Pseudomonadota; Gammaproteobacteria; Vibrionales; Vibrionaceae. The record is from RNAcentral.